GAGGAAUAUUGGGCAAUGGGCGAAAGCCUGACCCAGCAACGCCGCGUGAGGGAUGAAGGCCUUCGGGUUGUAAACCUCUUUUCUGGGAGAAGAGACAAGGACGGUAUCCCAGGAAUAAGUCUCGGCUAACUACGUGCCAGCAGCCGCGGUAAUACGUAGGAGGCAAGCGUUAUCCGGAUUCACUGGGCGUAAAGCGCACGCAGGCGGUCAUGUAAGUCGGACGUGAAAGCUCCUGGCUCAACUGGGAGAGGUCGGUCGAUACUGCAUGGCUUGAGGUUGGGAGAGGGAAGCGGAAUUCCCGGUGUAGUGGUGGAAUGCGUAGAUAUCGGGAGGAACACCAGUGGCGAAAGCGGCUUCCUGCCCAUACCUGACGCUCAGGUGCGAAAGCGUGGGGAGCGAAC
This 401-nucleotide ribosomal RNA is filed under the name uncultured bacterium. RNAcentral's name for it is "bacterial SSU rRNA". It matches the Rfam family "Bacterial small subunit ribosomal RNA", at positions 356 to 773 of the family's 1533-position model. The record is from RNAcentral.